UGCCAGCAGCCGCGGUAAUACAGAGGGUGCAAGCGUUAAUCGGAAUUACUGGGCGUAAAGGGUGCGUAGGUGGUUACUUAAGUUAGGUGUGAAAGCCCCGGGCUCAACCUGGGAAUUGCGCUUGAUACUGGGUGGCUAGAGUACUGUAGAGGAAGGUAGAAUUUCCAGUGUAGCGGUGAAAUGCGUAGAUAUUGGAAGGAAUACCGGUGGCGAAGGCGGCCUUCUGGACAGAUACUGACACUGAGGCACGAAAGCGUGGGGAGCAAACAGGAUUAGAUA
RNAcentral lists this ribosomal RNA (279 nucleotides) under uncultured bacterium. RNAcentral describes it as "partial 16S ribosomal RNA". It matches the Rfam family "Bacterial small subunit ribosomal RNA", at positions 506 to 784 of the family's 1533-position model. The record is from RNAcentral.